RNAcentral lists this transfer RNA (76 nucleotides) under Pseudomonas nitroreducens. Its description in RNAcentral is "tRNA-Lys". It matches the Rfam family "tRNA". Rfam says of the family: Transfer RNA (tRNA) molecules are approximately 80 nucleotides in length. Their secondary structure includes four short double-helical elements and three loops (D, anti-codon, and T loops). The record is from RNAcentral. Lineage: Bacteria; Pseudomonadati; Pseudomonadota; Gammaproteobacteria; Pseudomonadales; Pseudomonadaceae.
GGGUCGCUAGCUCAGCUGGCAGAGCAGGUGGCUUUUAACCAUCUGGUCAUUGGUUCGAAUCCAAUGCGGCCCACCA